Molecule: ribosomal RNA, 422 nt
Filed under: uncultured bacterium
Lineage: Bacteria
Description: partial 16S ribosomal RNA
Rfam family: Bacterial small subunit ribosomal RNA
Source: RNAcentral
AAUAUUGGACAAUGGGCGAAACCCUGAUCCAGCCAUGCCGCGUGUAUGAUGAAGGUCUUCGGGUUGUAAAGCACUUUUGGCUGAGAAGAAAAGCUGUCACCUAAUACCUUGCUGUGUUGACGUUACCUACAGAAUAAGCACCGGCUAACUUCGUGCCAGCAGCCGCGGUAAUACGCAGGGUGCAAGCGUUAAUCGGAAUUACUGGGCGUAAAGCGUGCGUAGGUGGUUUGGUAAGUAAGAAGUGAAAGCCCAGGGCUCAACCUUGGAACUGCUUUUAAAACUGGCAAGCUAGAGUAUGGCAGAGGGGGGUAGAAUUCCAUGUGUAGCAGUGAAAUGCGUAGAUAUAGGAAGGAACACCAGUGGCGAAGGCGACCACCUGGGAUAAUACUGACACUGAGGUGCGAAAGCGUGGGGAGCAAACA